This 649-nucleotide long non-coding RNA is filed under the name Fukomys damarensis (Damara mole-rat). RNAcentral's name for it is "lncRNA (ENSFDAG00000028200.1)". The record is from RNAcentral. Lineage: Eukaryota; Metazoa; Chordata; Mammalia; Rodentia; Bathyergidae.
CCUGGGCUGUGUAAUUAGCAACUGCUACUCAGGUUUAUAUUCUGAAAUAUAUAUCUAUAAUUCAAGUUAAAUAGAGGUCAGAUUUCUAUAGAAGAAUGUUACUUAAUUUUCAGUAGUAAAACACUAAAUUAGAUAUGCAGCUUUUACACAUCUGCUCAGAAAAGCACUACAAAAUAAUAAAUGUUAUAAAAUAAAAAUUAGAAAAUAUUAGUAACUCGGAGAAAACGCUAUAACUAUUUUGUUCCCGGUGGGAACUACGAAGGAGAACAGUCAUUUCAUCAAACACGAGGAAUGUUUUCAAACAAUCCUCGCCUGUGUUCUCUCUGGUCAGUAAACAAUGAUGAGAUAACUAACUUCCUCUGCUAUGCCCUCGUGGGGACCGCGCACUGCACUGAGGGACUUGGGAAACGGCUUUAAAUAGUGUCCUCCGGCAGGCUGGAAACCGAGGCUCCUCUGUGAGCAAAGCCUUGCUCCCGGUGUGCAGAGACGGAGCAGAGGGCCCUGGUCUCAGGCCCCCUCUGCUGUGGCCCUCAGGACGUCUCCAGGGUGAGCCGCGCCACUGCCUUCCUGCCGUGCUGCUGGGUCCCAAGAUCGCUGGAUGGGUAAACCCUCACAGAGCCAUACACCACCUCAGUUCUCAACACCGCAG